CAGCAGUCGCCGCGGGAAAACGUAGGUGGCAAGCGUUAUCCGGAAUUAUUGGGCGUAAAGCGCGCGUAGGCGGUUUUUUAAGUCUGAUGUGAAAGCCCACGGCUCAACCGUGGAGGGUCAUUGGAAACUGGAAAACUUGAGUGCAGAAGAGGAAAGUGGAAUUCCAUGUGUAGCGGUGAAAUGCGCAGAGAUAUGGAGGAACACCAGUGGCGAAGGCGGCUUUCUGGUCUGUAACUGACGCUGAUGUGCGAAAGCGUGGGGAUCAAACAGGAUUAGAUACCCCCGUAGUCCCUGUCUCUUAUAC
This 304-nucleotide ribosomal RNA is filed under the name uncultured bacterium. RNAcentral describes it as "partial 16S ribosomal RNA". It matches the Rfam family "Bacterial small subunit ribosomal RNA", at positions 509 to 807 of the family's 1533-position model. The record is from RNAcentral.